GGCCUUGGAGUCGAGUCAGGGUUGCCAAAUGCCAGAUGCUGGUCACCUGCUUCUUUAUCUUGGUAACAGCUGCUGGGCCUCUCUGUGGCCACCAUGGUGACUCUUACCUACUUCGGGGCCCACUUUGCUGUCAUCCGCCGAGCAUCCCUGGAGAAGAACCCGUACCAGGCUGUGCACCAAUGGGCCUUCUCUGCGGGGUUGAGCCUGGUGGGCCUCCUGACUCUGGGAGCCGUGCUGAGCGCUGUAGCCACCGUGAAGGAGGCCCAGGGCCUCAUGGCGGGGGGCUUCCUGUGCUUCUCCCUGGCGUUCUGCACACAGGUGCAGGUGGUGUUCUGGAGACUCCACAGCCCCACCCAGGUGGAGGACGCCAUGCUGGACACCUACGACCUGGUAUAUGAGCAGGCGAUGAAAGGCACGUCCCACGUCCGGCGGCAGGAGCUGGCGGCCAUCCAGGACGUGUUUCUGUGCUGUGGGAAGAGGUCUCCUUUCAGCCGUCUGGGGAGCACAGAGGCUGACCUGUGUCAGGGAGAGGAGGCGGCGAGAGAGGUGAGGGGGGGACCUGGAUGCUGGCCAGGCAAGACCCUCGGGGGCUGGACACCCUGGGGCCCAACCCCAAGACCCAGGGCCAUCCUCCCACCCCA
RNAcentral lists this small RNA (641 nucleotides) under Pan troglodytes (chimpanzee). RNAcentral's name for it is "retained intron". Lineage: Eukaryota; Metazoa; Chordata; Mammalia; Primates; Hominidae. The record is from RNAcentral.